CCGGAAGAGGAAUUGCCCUGAGGGCUCCGGAGGCGGCUGCGCGAGCCGGGGCUGGAGCUCCCGUGGAGUUGGCGGGAAAGACGUGGCUGUGGGUGCCCCCUUUCGGCCGGGAGGAGUUAGAGCCCCUCGAGGUGGCGUCCCCGCCAGAGCGGUUACCGCGGUCCUCUGGCCACCUGCAAGAGAUGACAGGGAGACUAUGACCUAAAACCUGCGAAACUCCUCUUCCUGGUGCACCUACCCCUGGCCUCUGCAAAGACUCCAGUGGUUUUUACAGUGCAAAUGUUGCUGCCUAUACAAACCGAAUCACUCGUUCUCUGAGCAGAGACAGAGACAGCGAGAGCAGGAACACAAGCAGGGGGAGUGGGAGAGAGAGAAGCAGGCUUCCCGCCGAGCAGGGAGCCCGAUGCGGGGCUCGAUCCCAGGACUCUGGGAUCAUGACCUGAGCCGAAGGCAGCCGCUUAACGACUGAGCCACCCAGGCGUACCGGUGGCCAUUUAUUUUUAACAUUUCUGUUAAGAGCUACUUCGGUGUCAGACAAACAACAGAAUAUUUAUCACAAGCUGUGACAGCGGACAGCGGAAUGGAAAGCACACUGAAUUCGAUUUCAGUCGGAGAGACUGAGGAGCACCGAUUGCGAUAGAGAAUCUCGCCGCUCGCGCAAGGUUUCCCUUCCUAAAGGGCGUCAGCGCCGGUGUCCAGGCCGGGCGCUCCAGCUCCGGGGCAGCGCCUCCCCUCCCCGGCCCAGGACUCGGGAGGGCGCUCUACCCGCGCGGCUCGCGUGCAGGCAGCGGGAACGACGACGUCGGCGCCUCCCCUGCACGACGUACGGUCCCGAGGCCUCCCUGGCCCUGAACUCAGUGCGCAGCCCCUCAGGCACCGCAGCGCGGCUGCGUCGGCCGCGGGCCCGGCGCCCUCUGGGGUGCCGAGAAGCACGUGGACCAGGCCGUCACGCCCGAGGCGGCUCGCUGCCCAGGAUCAAGUGUGCGCCCCGCUGCUGGCUUUCCCUGCCCUUUUGCGUACACAGAAUUUCAUCUUCAUUUCAAUUCAGAAUCAGCACGUAAUCUUCUGGGAGACAUUUUUAAAAGGCCGUUAAACUCAAGGUCGUACUGACAACGCACACAACCCCGCGGAUGACGACCACGUCGGAACGGCCACGUCCAAAUCUGCGCAUGCGCGCCGAGUGACCACGGCUUCCCAGCGAUCUCAGGUUACAACCCAAUUUCAGAACGCUAAAAUGUGAAGGAAUCGGCGUAUUGGAGUCGUUGCAGUGUUGUGUUGCUGUUUACAAGCAUGAGUUAAGGUCGAAAAUUCACUUUUGCUUUUUUUUUCCAGCUAAAAAACUAGUAAGUGGAGACAUGUGCUUUGCUAAAAAUACAGUCAAACUUGAAAAACUUUUUAUUUUUUUUACUUAAGUGGGAUAAUCUAUUGAUAUUAUUCUCAAGUUUGAAUGUUAUGCUUAGCAGUGUAUCAUGGACUUGUUUCCGUGUCAGUACAGAAGCAUCGAGAGCCUUUUUGGUUUUUCUAAAAUAAUAUGGUCAGAGGCGGAUCCAGGUUUUGUGGGGCUUACAGCUUAUACAAAUAGAGGGACCCCUUUUAAGAAAAAGAUUUAAAAGUUAGAUAUGGAAGUGAAUAUUUUUAGAUGAGAAAUCGCAACAAAUUACACAUUUUGGAAAGCUGACAACACAAAUCAUCGCAAAAUUCAGAGAAAUAACAUAAUAUUAUUAAUGAAUAGUACCAAUACCCUGCACGCGUAUAUAUUGCUUUCCCUUGCAUGGGGGGGGGGGGGAAGGAUAUACUUUUUUUUAUUACUUCUUCAUAUGACAAGGAUUCUGUCAAAAUUUGAUCUGAGGUAGAACUUCGAUUAAUAUCAGCACAAGCAAUUUUUUUACUAUUAUGGAUUUAUUUUAUGGAAAAUUAAAUCGAUCCAAAAUUUGUAAGGAUGUAGAGCACUUGGGAGAGGUUGCUUAUAUUUAAUUCUAUUCAAUGUCAGUCAAACAGCACACCCCAUAGAAUAAGAUGAGGUAUUUAGUUUUGGUGAUGAAGGCAAGUCAAAACAAACUGCCACUUCUCUAAAAUAUUUGGUUGGAUAUUUUAUUUUUGCUGAAAUAUGUGGGUCUGUACCUCAUUUCUCUAUGAAAAUUUGGUGUGACCUCCAGAUUUUUACUAUUAGUAUUUGGCAUUUCGUUAACACAAAGAUUAAAGGAUCUUCAUUUGCACUGGGCAUCAUUCAUUGCUUGGUUAGUACCAUCCUGUGUGUUGGCCAAACUCAGAUGUUGGAGAGAAUUAGUUAAUUUUAUAUUUAUGUAUAUUUCCAUUAAUAUACACAACUUGGGCCAGUAGUAGUAUUUAUCACCUCAUAUAUAUUUUUUGUUUGUAAAAUUGCUUUCUUAAAACAGUAUAAGAAUACAAAUGAAAAUAAAGGAACACGUAGGGGUUAUUUGACUAUGAUACAGCCUCUCAUAACUUGGGCCAGUGGUAAAAGUUCAUGGGCUUUAUUUAGUAUGUGCUAAGCUGUCACUAAGUUCUCCCUAAUCUAUCCUUGUAUUAAAUACUUACAUAUUUAGUGAAUUAAACAGUGAAUGUGAUGAAUCUCAAGGGUUUUUAAAAAAUAUUAUUUAUUUAUUAGCACGAGUGGGGUGAGGGGCUGAGAGAGAAGCAGACUCCCUGCUGAGCAGGGAGCCCAAUGAGGGGCUUGAUCCCAGGACACUGGGAUCAUGACCUGAGCCAGAGGCAGACGCUUAACCGUCUGAGCCACCCAGGUGCCCCUCAAAGUUUUUUUUUUAAUAGUAGUUUGAAUACUGUACAUGGUUAUAUCUUAACUUAACAUGACCAACCUAAACAAAUUAUUGAAUUACACAUUUUAAAUUAGAGACACAGGCCAUCACUCUAAUAGGCCAAAUUCUCUUAUAUGUUACAAGUGUAUAAAAUCUGAAAUACACACAGGUUCCUGCUUGCCAGACAGUAAUGCUAUGGAUCACAUGGAUCAUGUCCUUGGGUGGAAAUCUGCACACACUACCUGCUGCUUCUGUCCAUUCGCAGAGGGGCACCUAGGUGGCUCAGUUGGUUAAGUGUCUGCCUUCGGCUCAGGUCGUGAUCCCAGGGUCCUGGGAUCAAGCCCCACAUCAGGCUCCCUGCUCAGCGGGGAGCCUGCUUCUCCCCCUCCCUCCUGCUUGUGCACUCUCUCUCUCUCUCUCCAAUAAAUAAAUAAAUAAAUAAUCUUUAAAAAAAUAAAACAUGUUGAUAAUUUCCUUACCCUUUCUCUUAUGCUUAAAAUCCUGAUUCCAAACAAAAUUAAUACAAUUACUAAUGUUGUCUUACAAAAUUAUCAAAUAAAGUUUAAGAUUUUUUUUUGCAGUUAUUUUUAUCCUUAUACUUAAUGCCACUAAGGAUGUGUAGCCCAAUUAUUUUCUGGUAGAGUCAUUCAUAAUAAUUCAUUCUGAGUCUUUGUAAUUACAUGUAUCACAUACAUAUAUCAUAUGUGAUUAGUAUGAUUUAGUUUGUUUCAGUUCUGUGAGGUUAUCAGCAAUUUUCUUAGAAGGUGGUGGCUUUCAGCCAAGACAUUUUCUUCUUAUGUGAUAUUCAAAUCCUGGAGCAUGGUAGAAACCAAUUAUCAGCCUACCUUAAGAGAUGAGAAGUAAAGGGCAAAUCAAGCAAAUGAAUUUCCCAAAUUAUGUAUGAAAGUUUCAUUUAGCUACUGGCUGGUCUUUAUGAAAUGACCAAAUGUAAUAGAUGCAUCUGAUUCAUAUGCACAAGUUCUGGUUGGGCAGCCUAAUUCUGUCUUCUGUUUAAUUUCUGGCAAUAUUAGAACCUACAUAUUUUCAUACAUCCCAUUAAUAUUUAAUUUAGUAAAUAUGAGAUGAUAUUAAAACCUUUAAAAUUUAUUAUUCUUUUUUAGCUCCCUUAUCUAAUAGGUAACAUUUUUCUACCAAUUUAAUAAUACCACAUUAUACCUAAAUUUACAAUGUAUCAAAUCCAGGUGAUUCUCUAAGUUUUAUCCCAGUCCAGUACCAAAAUCUUUAAUUUUCCUCCAGGAAGAUUUUAACAAGGUACAUAGUAUCUUAGAAUUCUGUGUUAAGAAAGGAGGCUGAGUUAGUCCUGCUCUUCUGAGGAACAGAUAGCAAGACAGGAUUAGCCACACAAGAGACUUACUAAGGGAACAUCUCUGAGGGAAAAUGAGGAGGGAGCUGGGGGCAGCUGGAGAGCUGUCCGCUUGUGAUGUGAAGGACAGAGGGAGAAAAGGAAGGUGGGGUGCAAGAGUUUUAGCCAAUAGUGUAGUCCCUGUAGCAUAGUCCUAAGAAGGUUCAAUAUGACGGAUGAGGAGUCCUCAAGUCAAAGUUGUCCAUUAGAGGAAGCUCAUGUCUCCUGGAAAGGGGCUGGCUUUUGUGUCCGUGGGGCACAGAGCCACUGGCUGGGAGCAGUGCUGGGAAGCCUGGCUUCAUUCAGUACAGACAUCAUGGUGGAUUUUGGAAUAAGUACAGCUUACUCUGGGUACAUUGGCCAGUAAUACUUUCUGCAUUUAGGGAUCUGAGAGACACAUGUUCAUGGCCACCACAGAUAAAAUAUAAGCUUUAAAGAUUUUGUCUGAGAGCCUCUCUACUUGGGUCAAAAUUCUGAUGUCACAUUGAACAUAAUAAUUACUAUCCUAAUUUUUAAUUACAGUGUAGAAUUCCAGUUUUAAGAAGCCUUUGCAUAAGUCAUAUUACUUUUUUGAGGUUAAGACCAUGCUUUUUAAAAAAAUAGAUGUAUUUGCUUAAAACCCAUUCUUAUUUUAGCUUUAUACGAAUACAUACAUACUUAUACACAUUCAACCAAAGGAGUAAACACAAAGUUGUAUAUAUAAUCGAAGCAACAGAACUCUUAGAAGUUUCCAAGCAGACCAUUUGAUAAUUACAGCACCCCAAGUGCUUUUUGGAAGUAAGGAUUUUUUUAAAUUGGUACAAAGAGAAUUGUUUUAUGUGUGUGUCUGGAUAGAUAGGUUGUAUAUAAGACUUUAAGUAGUUCUCCUUUUUUUAAUUAAAAAAUUGCCUUACUCGAUGCCUCUUAUUAGACUAAGACUUGUAAAAUAUAAGACUUAAAUCUAUGUCUAUAUAAAAUAUGUAAUGUAUUUUCUUAAUGACUCUUGUUAGACUAAGACUUUUUUCAUUUGAAAUACAAACAAUUCAUUUCUAACCUGGCCUUCUGCAGUCUGGACUUACCUGAGGAGAGAUUUAUGUCAUUUUCAUCUGGUCUCAAGUACUCAAAUGUUCUACCUUUAAUGGACAAAAAAAUGUUCUAAUUAUUUCUAAAGUAUGCCUCCUUGCCAGCUUGAGGAUUUCAGUGCUAAUGCUUUAAGGCUUGAUCUUCCAUGAAAUUAAAAAGCACCUUAUAGUGAAGUUCCUGGUAUCCCUGGCUCACAUCUUUGGAAAC
Molecule: long non-coding RNA, 5406 nt
Organism: Mirounga angustirostris (Northern elephant seal)
Lineage: Eukaryota; Metazoa; Chordata; Mammalia; Carnivora; Phocidae
Exons: 4
Source: RefSeq, a predicted model, not a curated record